CAAAGAAUAGUUUAGCUUAGAAUCCUAGCUUUGGGAGUUAGGGGCGGGAGUUAGAGUCUCCCUUCUUUGA
RNAcentral lists this transfer RNA (70 nucleotides) under Etheostoma fonticola (fountain darter). RNAcentral describes it as "tRNA-Pro". It matches the Rfam family "tRNA". From Rfam's summary of the family: Transfer RNA (tRNA) molecules are approximately 80 nucleotides in length. Their secondary structure includes four short double-helical elements and three loops (D, anti-codon, and T loops). The record is from RNAcentral. Lineage: Eukaryota; Metazoa; Chordata; Actinopteri; Perciformes; Percidae.